This 254-nucleotide ribosomal RNA is filed under the name uncultured bacterium. Its description in RNAcentral is "partial 16S ribosomal RNA". It matches the Rfam family "Bacterial small subunit ribosomal RNA", at positions 524 to 776 of the family's 1533-position model. The record is from RNAcentral.
UACGUAGGGUGCGAGCGUUGUCCGGAAUUAUUGGGCGUAAAGAGCUCGUAGGCGGUGUGUCACGUCGGCCGUGAAAACCUGCAGCUUAACUGUGGGCGUGCGGUCGAUACGGGCAUCACUGGAGUUCGGCAGGGGAGACUGGAAUUCCUGGUGCAGCGGUGAAAUGCGCAGAUAUCAGGAGGAACACCGGUGGCGAAGGCGCCGCUCUGGGCCGAAACUGACGCUGAGGAGCGAAAGCGUGGGGAGCGAACAGG